GCUUGAGCUGUCACAAUCCUCCAUACUGCCCCAAGUACACUUCUCAACUACGACUCGUCCUUUGAGUUCACCAGGCAAGAUGAAGCUCUACUUUCCACUCCUCUGUUUCCUUCUUCUUACCUCCUCUUUCAUGGAUCCAGCCAUGGCCCUCGCUACUUCACCAUAUUGCAGCGACAAGUGCUCGACGAGGUGUGCAGUAGCAGGAGUUCAGGAUCGAUGCAUGAAGUAUUGUGGGAUAUGCUGUGAAGCGUGCAAGUGUGUGCCGUCUGGGACUUAUGGGAACAAGCACGAGUGCCCUUGCUACAGGGACAAGAAGAACGACAAGGGCAAGCCCAAGUGCCCCUAAUUUAAUUACUCAAAUUUUCUGUGUCUAGUUUAAUCUUUAUGGAGAAUGUUAAUUAGGGUUAAAGUUGGUGCUUUAGUAAUAAUAGCAAGAAUUAGUAGUUGAUCCCUUUUAUGUUUGGUAUGAGUCCAGUUAUAUAGUUUUAUGUUGUGAUCUUGAUCUUGGUUGUUUAUGUCCAAUGGCAGUUGGAUUUUCAUAAAAUAAAUAAAUUAUUUGUCUUCUUUUUUA
Non-coding RNA from Malus domestica (apple), 571 nucleotides. The record is from RefSeq and is a predicted model, not a curated record. NCBI's taxonomy places the organism in Eukaryota, Viridiplantae, Streptophyta, Magnoliopsida, Rosales, Rosaceae.